Molecule: long non-coding RNA, 1531 nt
Organism: Sapajus apella (tufted capuchin)
Lineage: Eukaryota; Metazoa; Chordata; Mammalia; Primates; Cebidae
Exons: 3
Source: RefSeq, a predicted model, not a curated record
CACACACAAAUACAUAUGUAUUUUUAAUGUAAAUUUUGAUUAUGGAUGUCAGUAGCUUUACUUGUUAGUAGCGCUGUCUCAAGUAGUUUAACAUCAUUUUCAAAGUUUCUAAAGAGAAAGUGCAGAUAACAUAGCCUAUUAAAAUGUUUUAUUGCAUGAUUGUAGACUUUGACAUUGGGAAACAAGGGAAAAUAUAUGUGACAAGAAAUACUAGAAAUGAGUCUGAAAUGGAACAGGUUCUCUGUUCUCUUCCUGAAAUGAGAAAGGCUGUCAGUGAUGCAGCUCUCUGGAGACAACAAAUCUAUGCAGUAGCAAUACUUUGCUUCUUAAAGUUAAGGUGUGAAAGGAGAGCUCUUUUGUGUUUUCUGACACCCUGCAACCUCAAUAAUUUCUGCUAGUCAUUGGUUUCUUUAACUCUUUGGGGCACAGUUUUACUACUGUUGUGAACAAAAUUCGAUCAAAUAUUGAAGACCUCGUGCAUUCACUGAAGCAUCAGGAUAUAGUUUUGGAAAUAGAUGACUUUAGAAACAGAAAUGGCUCAGACGAUCCCUCCUACAAUGGAGCCAUCAUAAUGUCUGGCGACCAGAAGGUAUGUUUGCUUCCGUGUACCAUUUUAUCAUGAGUGGUUUUUGUUUGUUUGUUUGUUUUUGUUUUUUGUUUUGUUUUGUUUUUGCCACAUCUUAACAUUUUGAACUAUAGGAAACUCAUAUUUUCUAACUUGUCAUAUUAGAGGAGGCUUGAAACUAUCUUUGUCACAUAAAAUGUCAUCUUUCCAUGUGAGUGAAUGUUAAUCCAUUUCAUCUACAAAACAAGUCACUUGAAUUACAAAAAUAAUGCAUUCUUAUACCAAUUCAAAGAAGGCAGAAGUGUCAAAGAAAAAUUAAUAUUCUCCUUCUCAUCCGAACUCCACUCUGGUAAUAUAAAAAAUAUCCAAUAAAUGUAUUUACUCCAAGAACUUAGAACUUAUAUUUGUGUACUUUUUUUUUUUAAGGAUUACAGGUUUUAAGUUGCAUGUAAUACCAAGAAAUUUAAUUGUUUUCCUGUUCUUAUGGGUAUUGUUAGCAAUGCCUUAUUGGAAUUUUUUACUUCACGGAGCUUAUUCAAAUGGAGAGCAGCUCAUUUUCUUGUGUAAGUAGAGUAUUGACUUAUGUAAGAGGCAACACAGCAGAGUAACAAAGGAUGAGGGCUCUAGAGCCUACCACCUGAGUUCAAAUCCUGCUUCUUCCACUUAAUAGCAAAUUUCUUAGCUACCCCUUGCCUUUGUGUCUUUAUCUGCAAGACAGGGAGUGUAAUAAUAUCUACUUUAUAUAAUUAUUAUGAAAAUUAAAUGAAUUUACUGAGUACCUAGAACACAGCAUGGCAUAUAUGUAUUUAUGUAUAAAUAUAUAUUUAAAUUAAUUCAAUAACUACUUUCUGAGUGUGCUAUUUUCUGGUACUUCUAGGUGUCGAGAAUACAGCAUGAGCAGAGAAAACAAAAGUCUCACCCACAUGGAGCUUACAUUCUUGUAAAGAGGAAGCAUUCAAAUACAUG